RNAcentral lists this long non-coding RNA (3561 nucleotides) under Sus scrofa (pig). Its description in RNAcentral is "lncRNA (ENSSSCG00060058842.1)". Lineage: Eukaryota; Metazoa; Chordata; Mammalia; Artiodactyla; Suidae. The record is from RNAcentral.
CCAGGCAGGGAUUGAAUCCAAGCCACAGCUGUGACCUACACCACAGCUGCAGCAAUAUCAGAUCCUUUAAUCCACUGCACUAGGUACCCGUGCCUCCACAGUGACCUGAGCCACUGUAGUCAGAUUCUUAAACCACUGUGCCACAGCGGGAACUCCUCCAAGGUCUCUUUUAUAUGGGCGCUACUCUCAUUCAUGAGAAUUCUACCCUCUCAACCUAAGCAUCUUCCAAAAGCCACCACAUCUUAAUACAAUCACACUGAAGGUAGGAGUUCAACAUGCAAAUUUUUGGAGGACAUAUUUAAUCUACAACAAUAUGCCUUGCAAUUAUUAAGUGUCUUAAACAAGCAUGUGAUAGGUCCUGGAUGAAAUCCAUUAGCAACUAAAUCUCUGUAUGUACAGUUAUUCUGUGUUGUUUCCUUGUAAAGUGAGAAUGGGAAGUGAGAGAGGAAAACCUCCUGGAAAACCUCCUGGAGGUGAAAACUUCCUGGAGUGAAUGAAAUGGCUUCAACACAGGGCUGGGAAGUUGUCUGGUAUAAACAAAUGAUUUAGUACAUUUAUGUGUUUGGUUGAAAUACAAAGUUCUGUGCUAUAUACUGUAAAAAAAAAUACUGAGCCUAAUAUUUUAUAUGACAGAUAUUAGAAAUUGCUCCUCUAUCCUUGAAACAUCUCUAUAUAGACCCUAUAAACUGUAUAGGGUCUAUACAGUUUAUAUGAAGUUAUUUUAAGGACGUUAUUUUAAGGAAGUUAUUUUGUAGUUCUUGCCAGGUAGGCCCUGGGGGGCCUAAGCCACGAGUGAAUUUAGAAGUUCCCAGUGAGAAAAGAUAAGCUGAAAAGAAGUUCAGCUUGGACUGAAGGAAUAUAAACCAAGAAAUGCACUAGGACAAAGAAUGGGUUCUUCCUACCUACACCUCAGCCUUCCUCUCCUUUCCUGGAAGACUCAUAGUUCAUGUCAUUACGGAAAAUCAGAUUGGGAUUGUUCUCAGAAUAUUCAGGUCCGAUGGCUAUGAUGACAGUGAGGAACAGAAAUUUCUGGGUAAUGGUGCUGCAUAGAGGAAGUAGGCUAUGAAUCAGUGAUAGAGAGCAGAAGCCUCCAGCCUUGGAGGCAUGGACUUAGUGACAACUAGAUGAUGGGGAAAGUUCAUAGUUUAGCCCUACUUUAGCUCCACCUGGGGACCAGAGUGCAGUCUGAGUGCCAGUGACGCAGACCAAAGAGCAAUCAAGCACACUGGUAUGCAGGGUGGAGGAAGGGGAACAGGAAGGGGAAAGGCGUCUGACUGUGCAUCCAGGUGCCUGCCACCUGCAGGGUCAGCACGGAAGUCCCAGCCCUCUCAAUAGCAGAUGCAGAGCUUCCAACAAUUGGCCAGGCUCAAGUCUCACUGCUUCAGGGUGGAGUGGGCCUGCAGGUCACAAUUCUUAAAUAGACGCAGAGCAGGAGGUAGGGUGGAACAGACAGUGCCUGAGUCCAGUCAUUAAACCUUCUUAUUGCCGAGCUAAUUAGAGAAUUGCUCAGAUUUUAUGUGAUAUCAACUUCCUUACCAUCAUCCCUCCUGUCAUUUGGUAUUGGUGUCUUAUUUUCCUAUUAAUUCUUCUUACCUUAUGCCAGAAAUAGAAAAAUCUCAGAGAUUUUCUUUUUCAUUAUAAGAAGCUUGCCCUGAGGAGACAGCUGCCAGGGUGGGUAUGUCUUCCCCCUGUAUUGAAAUUAUUAAAUCCAAUUCCAUUUUUAAGAAACUUUUAAUAUGAAAAUAAUAUAUGAUCUAUGUCAAAUAUUCAAAGAGUAUAGGAGGGCAUAAAAUGAAGAGAAAUUCCCUGACCACACACUUCUGGCUCUAUUAUUCCAUAAUCCAGAAAUCAGACUGCUACUAAUAUUGUGUAGACAUUGUGUAUAUAUAAGCAAAUGUGUUCGUUUGUUUUAAAAAAGCAUAUAUAUGAAGGUUCCUUCUUUGGCAUAGUGGUUUAAGGAUCCAGGUUGUCUCUGUGGCAGCCUGUGUUCAAUCCUCGGCCCUGUGCAGUGAGUUAAGGAUUCAGCAUUGCUGCAGCUGUGGCAUAGGUCAUAGCUGUGGCUCAGAUCCCUGGCCCUGGAACUUUCAAAUGCCACGGAUGUGGCCAUAACAACAACAAAAAAGCACAUAUAUGCAUACAUGCAUAUGUAUGCAUAUAACUUAACACAAAGUAGAUAUACUAUACAUAGUAUUUGAUAACCAAUAUAUCUUUGUAUUACUAGAUAGCAUUAUAUUACAUGAAUGAAAUUUUCUUAAGCAAAUACAUUUAUAUGAAAAGCACAAUAGAUAGGAAGCACAUAAUAUAUACCGGAUAUAACAAUUGUGAUAAUCUUUUCCUUGCUUUGCUUUGUAAUUUUACAACUAUAUAGUAUUUGUGGAAAAAAGUAAAUUAGUCUUACUGGUCUGUGAUUUACAUAUGAGGGUAUUUAUACUAUAUUUAUUUUAUUUAUUUCACUUGAUAUAAACAUGGGAGAUUUCCAUGGUGCCACAUAUAGCUCUCAUCUUUUCAUUUUCUAUGCUAUAUAGUAUUCUAUUAUAUGAGUUGCAGCAAUUUAUUUACCCCCUACACAGUGUGGGGGCUUUCAGUUGCUGUGAACAUGACAGCACAUAGUAGUGGAAUCGCUGGAUUAUAUGCAUGCCCUCAGCUCUAGUAAAUAUCAUCAAACUCUCUCCCAAAGUGGUCAGUCCAGCUUACUGACUUUGCAAAUUCAACUUUUUAAGGAAUUUGGCUCUUUCAUGUCCUAUACGUUAUAAAUACAUUUUUCAUCUUAUAAUUUAUGUAUUAACUUUGUUAAUAAAGGGUUUGUACUGUGGGAAAUUUUUUGCUUUUUAUACAUAGUCAAACUAAUUAAUCCUUUUUUCUUUAUGGCUUCUGUGUUUUAUGACUUGCUUAGAAAAGUCUUUCCUUCCUCAAUAUUAUCAAACUAUAGUUUUUAAAUACUCUUAUAAUUAAUUUUUAAUUUUGACUCAUUUGACUUAAUUUGUUCUGGUGAAUAAUAUGAGGUGUUUUUGUUUUUUUUUUCAAAAUGGAUAAUGUGUUGUUUCAACACCAUUCUAGCAACAAUAAGCUAAAAAGAUAACUCAAUAGGUAAUUAACUACAGUAUUGUCAUACAAAACUAUGUUUUUUUCUGAGUAUGACUAAUAUAAAAUAGAUAAUGGCAAAAGGACCCUAUUCAGUAGAAAUAAGAAAAUAUAAAAUAUAGAAUAAGCUUACUGUAAAAUUCUCAGGACUUGGGACGAGAGGAAAAUGAUGGGUGAACAAAGACUUACAUGUGGUAUCUUAUUCUUGCAUAGGCAGACUCAAAAUUGUAAGAUAUAUCUUUCUAAAUUAACCUAUAAAUCCAAUAUAAACCCAAUAAAAAGACCAAACACUUAUUUGUGUCUGAUUUAGGAGAUAAUUCUGAAUUUCAUAAGAAGAAAGAUAGGUGGAACCAAUCAAGAAAAUUCUGACAAAUGACUAUUCAUAUCUUUCAUUAGAAUUUAUUAAAAGCUAGGGCAAUAACAUAAUAGGAGACUGGCCUAGGAGUAGUCAAAAGGAAUUAAAAAAAAAAAAAAAAAAAA